RNAcentral lists this ribosomal RNA (597 nucleotides) under uncultured bacterium. RNAcentral's name for it is "bacterial SSU rRNA". It matches the Rfam family "Bacterial small subunit ribosomal RNA", at positions 820 to 1431 of the family's 1533-position model. The record is from RNAcentral.
GUCCCGGGGUUUACUCUGGGACGCAAGCUAACGCGUUAAGCAGACCACCUGGGGAGUAUAGCCGCAAGGCCGAAACUCAAACGAAUUGGUGGGGAGGCGCACAACCAGUGGAGCAUGCGGUUUAAUUCGAUAUGAAGCGAUGAAUCUCACCUGGAAUUGACAUGUACCUGCAUCCCGGCAGUAAUGCUGGGAGCCUUCGAGGGUGGUACACAGCUGUUGCAUGGCUGUCGUCAGCUCGUGACGUGAGUUGUUCUCUUAAGUGAGGUAACGAGCGCAACCCCUGUCCUGUGUUAUUUUUUCACAGGAGACUGCUCAGCAUUAUUGUUGUUGGGAGGAAGGAGGGGACGACGUCAAGUCAGCAUGAUGCCUAUGUCCAGGGCUACACGCAUCCUACAAUGACAAGUACAACGGGUUGCCAAACCGCGAGGUGGAGCUAAUCCUCUAAAACUUGUCUCAGUGGGGACUGCAGUCUGAAACUCGACUGCACGAACUUGGAAUUGGUAGUAAUCGUGGAUCAGCAGACCGCGGUGAAUACGUUCUCGCCUCUUGCACACACUGCCCGUCAAAUCAGCAAAGUUGAGGGUACCCAAAGACUCU